RNAcentral lists this long non-coding RNA (2338 nucleotides) under Cricetulus griseus (Chinese hamster). RNAcentral's name for it is "lncRNA (ENSCGRG00000024306.1)". Lineage: Eukaryota; Metazoa; Chordata; Mammalia; Rodentia; Cricetidae. The record is from RNAcentral.
AUGUCACAGAUGGCUGCCAACGCUCACUCUUCACCUCUUCACCCAACCAUAGCCAAAGCAGGAAGAGAGGAAAGGGAGCAACCGGCCGCUCCUCAUUUGCCUUUCUUAUCUGAAAGGAAACACUUUCCCAGAAGUCUCCAGCACUGUAUGUUCUUAGCCAGAAAUGGGUCACAGGACCACCCUGGACCAAUCCCAGGCCCAGGAAGAUGGGCUUGCUAUAGUGGACUUAAAUCAAUCGCACUUUCUUCCCUAGAGCCGGGCCCAUGGCCAGCUGGAGAAGUUAGCAUCAGUCAGCUGGCGGGAAGGAAGGGCAGCUGGCAGGCCUGUCCCCAGCGCCACCGACUCCAGCUUUCCAAAGUCCCAGGAGAAGCAAUGUCCAGGUGACUUCUGGCCUCUGCUGCAGAGCAGAGAAGUGGUCAGCCUCCUGGGGCAACAGCCAUGAAGAUCCUUUGCAAGCACUGUGAGCAAGUGGGCAGCCUUGUGCCCACUGGAGCAGCAAGUGCAGAUUGUAAAAGUCAACCUUGAUUUUAGAAUCAAAGAGUUUCACACAGGGAUGGGGCUCUGCCUCCCUGGAAACUGCCCACGUGCAUGUGUGUUCACAAAUAAACUAAAAUGUUUUCUCUUCUGCUGCUCCUGUUCCCAGAGGCUGGUCUCCCCCCAUUCUCUCCCUCCUUUUCCCAUUCUCUUUCCCUUAAUAACCCCACCACGCCAUGUGAGCUCUGUCAUGGCAUCUUUCUCUCUUUUUAAAUUACAACAGUCACCUCUCAGAUUAAAGCCUUCCAUCCUGGAAGGGAGUCCUUAAGCAGGGUGGUAACAAAAAGGUUGCUUCAAGGAGUCCCUGAAACUUGGCCUCGUGGCAAUAGUAGAGCACACCUUUAAUCCCAGCACUCAGGAGGUAGAGGCAGGUAGAUCUCUGUGAGUUCGAGGCCAGCCUGGUCUAUAGAGCAAGUUCAGGACAGCCUCCAAUGCCACAGAGAAACUCUGUCUGGAAAAAAACAAAAUGAAACAAAAAAACAGAAAACCUCCCUGAAACUCAACAGAUUCACUAGUUUCCUCCCAGCUGGAGUAGACAAAGAAGACUGUCAGACCAUCCGAGCUGCUAGAAGAGCUUUAGACCAACUGGGGCACUCGGAAAGGACACUCUCCAACCUGUGGCGCUGCCUGCAGGCUGUGCAGUGUGCUCCAGGCUCCCAGCUUUGUGAGCUGUCACCCAUGCUGGGGCGGGCUUUGGUGAUGCAGCUGUCUUUGAGUCAUUUCUGCUCCUGUGAGUAACCCCUCACCCAUAUUCCUGUAAGUAGCCCCAAUAAAGCCCAUUGGCUCACCAGGUUAGAUUUUGGGGAUAUCCAUACUUUGGCCUAUCUUGGGUUCCCUCUGUGUAUGUUACAUCUCCCUAGGAAAGGUUUGCUCACACAACAGGUCUCCACUGCAGCUGGGCUGCACCUUCAUCAACAGCCUAUCUUGGGCUGUCCUCAGGGACUGUAUCCUACCACUUGGUAUCCGGCCUCAGCAUCUUCCCAUGAUCCCUUCAAUCACAGGGAUUCCACUUUUAGAAUCUAUGCCUUUACCAGGGGCCUCUGCAAGCCUCUCUUGAGGGACCCCUGCUCUGCCACACAGUGUUGCACCUAAUGACUCUAAAACUAGUGCAACCAGAAAAAUUCUUACACAUUACCAAGAGUCAGCAUGAGGUACAACCUGGGCCCAUCUGAACCACAGCUUUUGUGUGCUGGCCCUAAGGAAACACUUCCCAGAAGAUUUUGCCUUAAAGAUGCCCGUCUCUUAAGUGUGGCUAAUCUCUCAGCUCCAUCGGACCAGCAUCAUUUGUCCCAGCAAAGUAAAGCUUUUGCUUUAACGGUCUCUUGUUCAUCACAGCUGAUUCUUCAGCCCCAGCUGAUCAAAAACACAGAUUCACAAUUCAAAAUCACAUAAAUGGCCCUGAAGUUCCCUAUGAAACUCCACAAGCCCGGCCUCCAUUAUCUCAAGACUCUUCUCUUCCAAGCUGCCACAAAACAGCCUACUGAGCUCUGAGCACUCAACAGCUUUUCCAGCCUAGAGUUCAGAUACCACCAUGAUCCUUCCCGAAAUACAGUCAGAUCUGUCAUAGUAAAACCCAACUCCUGGUCCAAUCGUCUUAGUUAGGGUUUCUAUUGCUAUGAUGAAACAAUAUAACCUGCAGUAGAAUAUUAGUUUAAGAUGUGUUACAUUGUUUAUGCUGUGGAAUGUUUGUUUAAUGAUGCAAAGAUGUGUUAAAUUCUUUAAUGUUGCAUUUGUUUAACUCUGUAAAAUUUUGUUGCUUUGCCUGCCUAAAACACCUGAUUGGUUUAAUAAAGAGCUUCCACCA